RNAcentral lists this ribosomal RNA (376 nucleotides) under uncultured bacterium. RNAcentral's name for it is "bacterial SSU rRNA". It matches the Rfam family "Bacterial small subunit ribosomal RNA", at positions 524 to 898 of the family's 1533-position model. The record is from RNAcentral.
UACGGAGGGUGCAAGCGUUAUUCGGAUUUACUGGGCGUAAAGGGCGCGUAGGCGGCUUGAUAAGUCAGUCGUGAAAGCCCGGGGCUCAACCCCGGAAGUGCGAUUGAAACUAUUUGGCUUGAGUAUGGUAGAGGGAAGUGGAAUUCCAGGUGUAGCGGUGAAAUGCGUAGAUAUCUGGAGGAACACCGGUGGCGAAGGCGACUUCCUGGACCAAUACUGACGCUGAUGCGCGAAGGUGUGGGUAGCAAACAGGAUUAGAUACCCUGGUAGUCCACACAGUAAACGGUGAUCACUAGGUGUUGCGGGUAUUGACCCCUGCAGUGCCGGAGCUAACGCAUUAAGUGAUCCGCCUGGGGAGUACGGUCGCAAGAUUAAA